UACGAAGGGGGCUAGCGUUGCUCGGAAUCACUGGGCGUAAAGGGCGCGUAGGCGGCCGAUUAAGUCGGGGGUGAAAGCCUGUGGCUCAACCACAGAAUUGCCUUCGAUACUGGAGAGCUUGAGUCCGGGAGAGGUGAGUGGAACUGCGAGUGUAGAGGUGAAAUUUCGUAGAUAUUCGGCGGAACACCAGUGGCGAAGGCGACUCACUGGCCCGAUACUGACGCUGAUGCGCGAAAGCGUGGGGAG
RNAcentral lists this ribosomal RNA (246 nucleotides) under uncultured bacterium. Its description in RNAcentral is "partial 16S ribosomal RNA". It matches the Rfam family "Bacterial small subunit ribosomal RNA", at positions 524 to 768 of the family's 1533-position model. The record is from RNAcentral.